AGUGAACGCUGGCGGUAGGCCUAACACAUGCAAGUCGAACGGCAGCACAGUAAGAGCUUGCUCUUACGGGUGGCGAGUGGCGGACGGGUGCGGAAUACAUCGGAAUCUACUUUUUCGUGGGGGAUAACGUAGGGAAACUUACGCUACUACCGCAUACGACCUACGGGUGAAAGCAGGUGAUCUUCGGACCUUGCGCGAUUGAAUGAGCCGAUGUCGGAUUAGCUAGUUGGCGGGGUAAAGGCCCACCAAGGCGACGAUCCGUAGCUAGUCUGAGAGGAUGAUCAGCCACACUGGAACUGAGACACGGUCCAGACUCCUACGGGAGGCAGCAGUGGGGAAUAUUGGACAAUGGGCGCAAGCCUGAUCCAGCCAUACCGCGUGGGUGAAGAAGGCCUUCGGGUUGUAAAGCCCUUUUGUUGGGAAAGAAAAGCAGCAGGUUAAUACCCCGCUGUUAUGACGGUACCCAAAGAAUAAGCACCGGCUAACUUCGUG
RNAcentral lists this ribosomal RNA (492 nucleotides) under uncultured bacterium. Its description in RNAcentral is "partial 16S ribosomal RNA". It matches the Rfam family "Bacterial small subunit ribosomal RNA", at positions 29 to 507 of the family's 1533-position model. The record is from RNAcentral.